Anoplophora glabripennis (Asian longhorned beetle) is the source of this 333-nucleotide long non-coding RNA. RefSeq lists it as uncharacterized. NCBI's taxonomy places the organism in Eukaryota, Metazoa, Arthropoda, Insecta, Coleoptera, Cerambycidae. The record is from RefSeq and is a predicted model, not a curated record. The transcript has 2 exons.
AGUAGCAGUUUAUUCUUUUCCUUGAUGAGAUGAAGGUAUCCGUUAUUUUUACAGCCAUUUUACUGGCAGCAACAUGUUUCUUCACCAGUUUAGCGUACCCAGCACAUGAAAUUGGAUACUUAUCAACUCGCCCUCGUCCAAAAGUUGGUCCUGUUACCACCCGUAAAUUCACUGUGUAGGGUGUACUGCUUUGUCUGUAUACAUCCUUCAAAAAGUAAAAGAAAUAUGAACAAAAAUGUAGCUUGUAUAUUAUUCUGCGGUGUGGUUUAUUAGUUUUUAACUACCUGUUUAUAUAAUCAAUAUAAUCAAUAAAAAAGCUAAUUUUUCCACAAA